GAAAGAGGGAUUAAUACUCCGUAACAUAAUGAAGUGGCAUCACUUUAUUAUUAUAGCUCCGGCGGUUAAAGAUGGGCGUGCGCCUGAUUAGAUAGUUGGCGGGGUAACGGCCCACCAAGUCUGCGAUCAGUAACUGGUGUGAGAGCACGACCAGUCACACGGGCACUGAGACACGGGCCCGACUCCUACGGGAGGCAGCAGUAAGGAAUAUUGGUCAAUGGACGCAAGUCUGAACCAGCCAUGCCGCGUGGAGGAUUAAGGCCCUCUGGGUUGUAAACUCCUUUUAUCUGGGAAGAAAUGCCAUUUUUCUAAAUGGUUUGGCGGUACCAGAGGAAUAAGCACCGGCUAACUCCGUGCCAGCAGCCGCGGUAAUACGGAGGGUGCAAGCGUUAUCCG
This 396-nucleotide ribosomal RNA is filed under the name uncultured bacterium. Its description in RNAcentral is "bacterial SSU rRNA". It matches the Rfam family "Bacterial small subunit ribosomal RNA", at positions 153 to 547 of the family's 1533-position model. The record is from RNAcentral.